UCCCUAGUGGUCUAGUGGCUAGGGUUCGGCGCUUUCACCACAGCGGCCUGGGUUCGACUCCCAGUCAGGGAG
This 72-nucleotide transfer RNA is filed under the name Erinaceus europaeus (western European hedgehog). It matches the Rfam family "tRNA". From Rfam's summary of the family: Transfer RNA (tRNA) molecules are approximately 80 nucleotides in length. Lineage: Eukaryota; Metazoa; Chordata; Mammalia; Eulipotyphla; Erinaceidae. The record is from Rfam by way of RNAcentral.